AGUGAACGCUGGCGGUAGGCCUAACACAUGCAAGUCGAACGGCAGCACAGUAAGAGCUUGCUCUUACGGGUGGCGAGUGGCGGACGGGUGAGGAAUACAUCGGAAUCUACUUUUUCGUGGGGGAUAACGUAGGGAAACUUACGCUAAUACCGCAUACGACCUACGGGUGAAGGCAGGGGAUCUUCGGACCUUGCGCGAUUGAAUGAGCCGAUGUCGGAUUAGCUAGUUGGCGGGGUAAAGGCCCACCAAGGCGACGAUCCGUAGCUGGUCUGAGAGGAUGAUCAGCCACACUGGAACUGAGACACGGUCCAGACUCCUACGGGAGGCAGCAGUGGGGAAUAUUGGACAAUGGGCGCAAGCCUGAUCCAGCCAUACCGCGUGGGUGAAGAAGGCCUUCGGGUUGUAAAGCCCUUUUGUUGGGAAAGAAAAGCAGCAGGUUAAUACCCCGCUGUUCUGACGGUACCAAAAGAAUAAGCACCGGCUAACUUCGUG
This 492-nucleotide ribosomal RNA is filed under the name uncultured bacterium. RNAcentral's name for it is "partial 16S ribosomal RNA". It matches the Rfam family "Bacterial small subunit ribosomal RNA", at positions 29 to 507 of the family's 1533-position model. The record is from RNAcentral.